UUUUUUUUUUUUUUUAAGAUUUUAUUUAUUCAUGAGAGAUACAGAGAGAGGGAGAGAGACAGAGACACAGGCAGAGGGAGAAGCAGACUCCAUGCAGGGAGCCUGACGUGAGACUCAGUCCCAGGACCCCAGGAUCAGGACCUGGGCCGAAGGCGGUGCUAAGGCGGUGCUAAACCCUGGAGCCACCAGGGCUGCCCCUGCAGUAUGUUUUUAGAGCAAAGGUUGUCCUGGGGUCUUUGGACCUCUAGGGGUCCAUGAAUGGGCUUCAAAGGUUCCUGAACUCCCUAUAAUUGUGACCAAACCUUUUUGUGUAUGUGUGUCUUUCUAGGGAGAAGGUCUGUGGUUGUGGUUAUAAAAAGAGAUCCAGAGCCCCAAAACGUUACAGUUGUAUGUUUUUAUUAAAUAAAAUGGGAGUUAGAAUAAUUCUUACAAGGAAAAAAAAAAGAAAAUAGAGAUCUUUGUGCCCAUUACUUGCUGUUUAAACUUGUCUUUAGUCUAAACAUAUGGUCUUAGAGGUGCAAAAAUACUUCCAUUUUGUUGCCAUAAUAAAGUAUUGCCUAUUAGUUGAUAAACCAUGCACACACAUAAAGGGCUUGACAUGCUAGUCCUGGGUUCAUUGUGGCUGUUUUUAAAUUAUAUUUAAAAAUUUAGAACAGAUAGAUUGAUGGUCAAUAAGCAGAGAUUUGAUCUUGACAACCAGCUCUUGGAGCAAAUGGGUCACUCAGCUCCCCUCUCUUACUGGUCUCCAGCAAAUCUCAAAUGUGACUGAGAGGUAAUCAUUCUAAGAAAAUGUAUUUUUGCCUUGGCCAAGCAGCAGAGCAUGAUAGGAAAAGGUUUCUCAUCAAAGCAGACUUAAGUUCAAAUCUGGGUUUUUCAAUUGCUGUAGUUGCUUAACCUACUUGACCCUCCAGUUCCUCACGUGGAUAAAGCCUACUGCAGUAGAAGCAUAAAGAGGCAGGAAUGAAGUUCCCUGUGUAAAAAAAAAAAAUCUGAACCCCUCAUUGGGCCUAUAUGAAGGCCUUGGAAGCUAGAUGCAGUAACCACUAAUACACAUAAGAAUGAACAUGUAUAAACAUGGUACAUUGUAAUGAUAUAUAUUAUUUCUCAAUAAUUGAAACUUUUUUGAAAAUUAGGUUUUCAAAAAUGAGUUAGGAUUAAGCGUCCUUACCUUGUAGAUAUCCAGGGGGAAAGUUGAAGGAAGAUAGUGGUGCGCUUGGUAAAGCUGGAGACAUUGGUGCUGGGCAGAAAGAGACAGUAGCAGCCCACCAACAGCAUAGUUGUCUCUGUGUAAGACUCCUCUUAACUCUUACUCUUCACUUGUAAUUUAAAUGAAAACCAAUGCAGGUACCCAAUUGUGGAGGCAUUUCUAAGAUGCCAGAAUUAGACAGCCAAAGUUAUAGGUAUAGCUUCCACUAAUGUGUUGUGUACAGCCAGCAGGAGGAUUUGACUCAUAGGCUGACCUUUUGCCUAGAAAAAAUGUUAGACUCCUAAGUUCUAGGGGUCUGUGGCAUCACCAAGCCGCCGCCGCCACUACCACCACCACCACCACCACCAUCACCAUCACCACCACCACCACCACCACCACCGCACAUGUGUUGCCAUUUGCCACCUCAAGCAUUCCAUACUUUUGGUAUGGCAGCAUUUUCCAAGGCCCCUGUCUUCCUCCAAUAGGAUGAAACUCCCAUCAGGUUAGUUGUUCCUAGUUAUGGUGAGCGGCCUUCCCUUCUUAGCACAUGCAUUAUUAUAUCACCAGGAAAUUUUAUUUAUUGCUAAAAAUGUUCUCACCUUGCCCAGUUUUCCAUAAGGCUUAAUAUUUGAACCCUGUCCUGUGUGAUGGUUUUGAAAGGAAUCUAUGCUUUUGGAGCUGUCUCAUGCUUCAAGUUCCUGUUGUUUCCUUAUCCUGGAAGGGAUGUAACUGAUGCUAGGCUCUCAAGCUGCUAACAAGACAUUCUUACCUUAAGGAAAUCUGUAUUCGGACUCCCCCCUCCCCCCCAAUUUCUGCAUGAUGUUUUGUUAAAUUAAACACACAAAGAGUCCUCUUGUGCUCUAACCCCUGGAGAUUAGUUCCAGGAUUGAUGUGUACAGCGCAUGUAGGUGUAUAUGUCUGUGUGUGAUUUCAUCUGGCCAUCCCUGAAGUUCUGAGGGCUGCUGCUUGUAGUUUUACCUUUUCUCUCUCUCCUGACCCUUCUCCCUUGGUCAUUGUAUGGGAUGCAGAUUUGGUGACCUGGCAAUUGCUGUAGCUGAUUGGUUUAUUUUUGCCUCCCUUCCUGCCUUUUAACAUUCUUUACUAAUUUGCAGCAAGUUGUUUUUUUUUUUUUUUAGUUUAACUUCAAAACUACAUUAUGCUGAAGUUAUUGGGUAUUUUAGAAUAUUCCCCCUUCUAUAUGUACACAUAAUAGCAGAGUUACGCAUCAGUAUUUUAGAUAUUUAGAGAUAAGAUGCAGUUUUUAAAAUACUUUAUGUAGACAGUAGUAAAACAUGUUAUACUUAAAUAUUAAUAGUUUCCUUUUUUUUUUUUUCUUAAGCUAAGUUUGGUACCUAUUUCUUAGAUGACAAUUUGGGCAAUGUGCAUCCAAAGUCAUAAAAUGGCAAAUAAUUGGUCAAAUGUGCAUAUAGAUGUGUGUACCAGACUGCUCACUGCCCCAUUUUCUAGUAAUAGGAAACAAGAAAGUAAUGCAAGUGCCUAUAAUAAAGGAUUAAGUCUAUCAGGACCUGCCCAUGCAGGGAAACACUGUGCAGUCUUUAGAAAGGAUGAUGCAGGGAUUACCUGAUUGGCUCAGUUGGUAGAACAUGUGACUUUUGAUCUCGGGGUUGUGAGUUUGAACCUCGAAUUGGGAGUAGAGAUUACUUAAAAAAAAUCUUUAAAAAAAAUGAUGCAGGUCAACAUUCAUUGACAUGGAAUGAUGUUUAGAAAAAAGAGGGUAGCAUGAGAAUAUAUAUAAUUUGUGACUAUUUAUUUAUUUUUAAAGAUUUUAUUUAUUUAUUCAUGAGAGACACAGAGAGAGAGAGGCAGAGACAUAGGCAGAGGGAGAAGCAGGCUCCUCACAGGGAGCCUGAUGUGGGACUCGAUCCCAGGACCCCGGGAUCAUGCACUGAGCCAAAGGUGGACGUUCAACCGCUGAGCCACCUAGGCGUCCCAAUGUGUGAGUUUUUAAAUGAUUUUUUAAUUUUUUUAAAAUUUUUUUAAUGAUUUUUUAAUCAAAAGUACUGUGUAUAGAAACCUAAAGGAAAAUAUCUGAAAGGGUAUAUACCAAGUAACAGGAACUUGUUAUCUGUAGGUAAUAAAGUUGUGGGUGAUUUUUUAAAAAAA
This 3310-nucleotide long non-coding RNA is filed under the name Canis lupus familiaris (dog). Its description in RNAcentral is "lncRNA (ENSCAFG00000055398.1)". The record is from RNAcentral. Lineage: Eukaryota; Metazoa; Chordata; Mammalia; Carnivora; Canidae.